RNAcentral lists this ribosomal RNA (239 nucleotides) under uncultured bacterium. Its description in RNAcentral is "partial 16S ribosomal RNA". It matches the Rfam family "Bacterial small subunit ribosomal RNA", at positions 95 to 334 of the family's 1533-position model. The record is from RNAcentral.
CCGGCGCACGGGUGAGUAACGCGUAUCCAACCUGCCUUACACUCUUGGACAGCCUUCUGAAAGGGAGAUUAAUACAAGAUGUUAUCAUGAGUAAGCAUUUUCGCAUGAUUAAAGGUUUACCGGUGUAAGAUGGGGAUGCGUUCCAUUAGAUAGUAGGCGGGGUAACGGCCCACCUAGUCUUCUAUGGAUAGGGGUUCUGAGAGGAAGGUCCCCCACAUUGGAACUGAGACACGGUCCAA